Molecule: long non-coding RNA, 156 nt
Organism: Bufo bufo (common toad)
Lineage: Eukaryota; Metazoa; Chordata; Amphibia; Anura; Bufonidae
Exons: 4
Source: RefSeq, a predicted model, not a curated record
ACACCCCAAGCAGUGAGACAGAAUGGGGGAAAGAAUACAUGAAAUCACAUUGUAGGAUUUCGAAUAAAUUAAUUGGUAAAUUCCUUGGUAAAAUAAGUAUUUGGUCACCUACAAACAAGCAAGAUGUCUGGCUCCUCUCAGACCAACAACUUCUUC